Hypoxylon sp. CI-4A is the source of this 143-nucleotide non-coding RNA. Lineage: Eukaryota; Fungi; Ascomycota; Sordariomycetes; Xylariales; Hypoxylaceae. The record is from the annotation of a GenBank genome assembly.
GCCAGUCUGGCCGAGUGGUUAAGGCGAUGGGAGCGGCUCGCCCUGCGAGGACUGCUGACUUACCAGAAGGAUCGUAGCUGGCUGAUGCCGCGAAAAUUUACCAUUGGGGCAAUCCCGCGCGGGUUCGAAUCCCGCGGCUGGCG